CAGCAGCCACGGGAAUACAGAGGGUGCGAGCGUUAAUCGGAUUUACUGGGCGUAAAGCGUGCGUAGGCGGCUUUUUAAGUCGGAUGUGAAAUCCCUGAGCUUAACUUAGGAAUUGCAUUCGAUACUGGGAAGCUAGAGUAUGGGAGAGGAUGGUAGAAUUCCAGGUGUAGCGGUGAAAUGCGUAGAGAUCUGGAGGAAUACCGAUGGCGAAGGCAGCCAUCUGGCCUAAUACUGACGCUGAGGCACGAAAGCGUGGGGAGCAAACAGGAUUAGAUACCCCCGUAGUCCCUGUCUCUUAUAC
This 301-nucleotide ribosomal RNA is filed under the name uncultured bacterium. RNAcentral describes it as "partial 16S ribosomal RNA". It matches the Rfam family "Bacterial small subunit ribosomal RNA", at positions 509 to 807 of the family's 1533-position model. The record is from RNAcentral.